This 802-nucleotide ribosomal RNA is filed under the name Serratia marcescens. RNAcentral describes it as "bacterial LSU rRNA". It matches the Rfam family "Bacterial large subunit ribosomal RNA", at positions 1 to 803 of the family's 2925-position model. Lineage: Bacteria; Pseudomonadati; Pseudomonadota; Gammaproteobacteria; Enterobacterales; Yersiniaceae. The record is from RNAcentral.
GGGUUGUGAGGUUAAGUGACUAAGCGUACACGGUGGAUGCCUAGGCAGUCGAGGCGAUGAAGGGCGUGCUAAUCUGCGAAAAGCGUCGGUAAGGUGAUAUGAACCGUUAUAACCGGCGAUACCCGAAUGGGGAAACCCAGUGUGUUUCGACACACUAUCAUGUCAUGAAUACAUAGUGGCAUGAGGCGAACCGGGGGAACUGAAACAUCUAAGUACCCCGAGGAAAAUCAACCGAGAUUCCCCAGUAGCGGCGAGAGCGAACGGGGAGGAGCCCAGAACCUUCCCCAGUAGCGGCGAGCGAACGGGGAGGAGCCCAGAACCUGAAUCGGCUUGUGUGUUAGUGGAAGCGUCUGGAAAGUCGCGCAGCAAGGGUGAUAGCCCCGUACACUAAAAUGCACAGGUCGUGAGUUCGAUGAGUAGGGCGGGACACGUGACAUCCUGUCUGAAUAUGGGGGGACCAUCCUCCAAGGCUAAAUACUCCUGACUGACCGAUAGUGAACCAGUACCGUGAGGGAAAGGCGAAAAGAACCCCGGCGAGGGGAGUGAAAUAGAACCUGAAACCGUGUACGUACAAGCAGUGGGAGCACCUUCGUGGUGUGACUGCGUACCUUUUGUAUAAUGGGUCAGCGACUUAUAUUUUGUAGCAAGGUUAACCGUAUAGGGGAGCCGUAGGAAACCGAGUCUUAACUGGGCGAAUAGUUGCAAGGUAUAGACCCGAAACCCGGUGAUCUAGCCAUGGGCAGGUUGAAGGUUGGGUAACACUAACUGGAGGACCAACCGACUAAUGUUGAAAAAUUAGCGG